This is a non-coding RNA of Pelobates cultripes (western spadefoot toad), 223 nucleotides long. The record is from the annotation of a GenBank genome assembly. Lineage: Eukaryota; Metazoa; Chordata; Amphibia; Anura; Pelobatidae.
GGGCAUGACAGCUGGUAUGGGAAGUUCAUGGCUUACCUGAGCCUCAGAGUGGUUAGGGGGGCCGUGGUGCGGGCCUGUUGCCGGGUCACAACUGGAUAUGCUUCCUGUACGGUGGAUUGAGGAACAAAAGCUGAAGUCAGCUCCCCCAGGUCAUUGCCCAAAAUGACGUCAGCGGGUAAAUUCUGCAUCAUCCCCACCUCCACAUUCCCAUGCCCCGCUCCCC